RNAcentral lists this ribosomal RNA (468 nucleotides) under uncultured bacterium. RNAcentral describes it as "partial 16S ribosomal RNA". It matches the Rfam family "Bacterial small subunit ribosomal RNA", at positions 28 to 507 of the family's 1533-position model. The record is from RNAcentral.
GACGAACGCUGGCGGCGUGCUUAACACAUGCAAGUCGAACGGAAAGGCCCUGCUUUUGUGGGGUGCUCGAGUGGCGAACGGGUGAGUAACACGUGAGUAACCUGCCCUUGACUUUGGGAUAACUUCAUGAAACUGGGGCUAAUACCGGAUAGGAGCUCCUGCUGCAUGGGGGGGGUUGGAGAGUUUCGGCGGUUGGGGAUGGACUCGAGGCUUAUCAGCUUGUUGGUGGGGUAGUGGCUUACCAAGGCUUUGACGGGUAGCCGGCCUGAGAGGGUGACCGGCCACAUUGGGACUGAGAUAGGGGCCAGAGUCCUACGGGAGGAAGCAGUGGGAAAUAUUGCACAAUGGGCGGAAGCAUGAUGCAGCAACGCCGCGUGCGGGAUGACGGCCUUCGGGUUGUAAACCGCUUUCGCCUGUGACGAAGCGUGAGUGACGGUAAUGGGUAAAGAAGCACCGGCUAACUACGUG